CUGCAUGGACUCUGGACCUGGUUCAUCACUUUGCCUUGUCUGGGACUGCCAGAGGACCCUGUUACCAGAGUAUGAGGAAUUUCUGUGACUAAGAUGCUGCCUGCAUUUGGCUCCUUAGAGUCAACAAUCCUAGAGGUCAGACUCUUGACCAGCUGGAAAAUCUGCAGAGUGAUUAUGUCAUGAUCAGACGGAGACGUGGCACUGCUGAAGUCUGAGCUGCAAUAGACAGCAGGGAAAAGUUGAUUUCUGUGUUUUUCUUGAAGUUGGAGAGAGGGUGGUGUGAGGCUGUGAACCUGUUUCAUGAGGACAGUGCUAGCCACUGUGGAUAACUGGGACUCUGGAAGAAACUCUUACAAGAGCCAGCUGUAACUUCUGCACACGUGCAGGGUACGCAGUGCUAAGCUGAGACUGAAAGAAGCAAACCUCUAUCACAUUUCUGUACUCUGAUUUCCAAAUAGGACUUGAUACCAAA
Long non-coding RNA from Gymnogyps californianus (California condor), 472 nucleotides. RefSeq lists it as uncharacterized. NCBI's taxonomy places the organism in Eukaryota, Metazoa, Chordata, Aves, Accipitriformes, Cathartidae. The transcript has 3 exons. The record is from RefSeq and is a predicted model, not a curated record.